This 253-nucleotide ribosomal RNA is filed under the name uncultured bacterium. RNAcentral's name for it is "partial 16S ribosomal RNA". It matches the Rfam family "Bacterial small subunit ribosomal RNA", at positions 524 to 776 of the family's 1533-position model. The record is from RNAcentral.
UACGGAGGGUGCAAGCGUUAAUCGGAAUAACUGGGCGUAAAGGGCACGCAGGCGGGCUUGUAAGUGAGAUGUGAAAUCCCCGGGCUCAACCCGGGAAUAGCAUUUGAGACUGGGAGUCUAGAGUACUUUAGAGGUGAGUAGAAUUCCUCGUGUAGCGGUGAAAUGCGUAGAGAUGUGGAGGAAUACCGAUGGCGAAGGCAGCUCCCUGGGAAUGUACUGACGCUGAUGUGCGAAAGCGUGGGGAGCAAACAGG